GACGAACGCUGGCGGCGUGCUUAACACAUGCAAGUCGAGCGGUAAGGCCCUUUCGGGGGUACACGAGCGGCGAACGGGUGAGUAACACGUGGGUGACCUGCCCUCAGCUCUGGGAUAAGCCUGGGAAACUGGGUCUAAUACUGGAUAUGACUCCACGGUGCAUGUCGUGGGGUGGAAAGCCUUGUGCGGCUGAGGAUGGGCCCGCGGCCUAUCAGCUUGUGGUGGGGUGAUGGCCUACCAAGGCGACGAUCCGUAGCCGGCCUGAGAGGGCGGUCGGCCACACUGACACUGACAUACGGGUCAGACUCCUACGGGAGGCAGCAGUCGGGAAUUUUGGGCAAUGGGCGAAAGCCUGACCCAGCAACGCCGCGUGAAGGAUGAAAUCCCUCGGGAUGUAAACUUCGCAAGAACGGGAAGAAUAAGUAGGGGACAAUACCCCCUAUGAUGACGGUACCGUUUGUAAGCUCCGGCUAACUCCGUGCCAGCCGCCGCCGUAAU
RNAcentral lists this ribosomal RNA (498 nucleotides) under uncultured bacterium. Its description in RNAcentral is "bacterial SSU rRNA". It matches the Rfam family "Bacterial small subunit ribosomal RNA", at positions 28 to 524 of the family's 1533-position model. The record is from RNAcentral.